Molecule: ribosomal RNA, 1698 nt
Filed under: metagenome
Description: bacterial LSU rRNA
Rfam family: Bacterial large subunit ribosomal RNA
Source: RNAcentral
UGAGCGUUCUGUAAGCCUGUGAAGGUGUCUCGAGAGGGAUGCUGGAGGUAUCAGAAGUGCGAAUGCUGACAUGAGUAGCGUUAAAGCGGGUGAAAAGCCCGCUCGCCGUAAGUGCAAGGUUUUCUACGCAACGUUCAUCGGCGUAGAGUGAGUCGGCCCCUAAGGCGAGGCAGAGAUGCGUAGCUGAUGGGAAACAGGUCAAUAUUCCUGUACCGAUGUGUAGUGCGAUGUGGGGACGGAGAAGGUUAGCUCAGCCGGGUGUUGGAUGUCCCGGUUCAAGCCUGUAGUCGUGCCUGGUAGGUAAAUCCGCCGGGCUUAGAUGAGGGGUGAUAACGAGGAGGCUUGCCUCCGAAGUGAGUGAUACCCAGCUUCCAGGAAAAGCCACUAAGCUUCAGCUGCACACGACCGUACCGCAAACCGACACUGGUGCGCGAGAUGAGUAUUCUCAGGCGCUUGAGAGAACUCGGGAGAAGGAACUCGGCAAAUUGACACCGUAACUUCGGAAGAAGGUGUGCCUUUAGUAGGUGAACCCGUACAGGGGGAGCCCAAUGAGGUUGCAAAGAAUCGGUGGCUGCGACUGUUUAAUAAAAACACAGCACUCUGCAAACACGAAAGUGGACGUAUAGGGUGUGACGCCUGCCCGGUGCUGGAAGAUUAAGUGAUGGGGUGCAAGCUCUUGAUCGAAGUCCCAGUAAACGGCGGCCGUAACAAUAACGGUCCUAAGGUAGCGAAAUUCCUUGUCGGGUAAGUUCCGACCUGCACGAAUGGCGUAACGAUGGCCACACUGUCCCCUCCCGAGACUCAGCGAAGUUGAAAUGCUUGUGAUGAUGCAAUCUCCCCGCGGAAAGACGGAAAGACCCCAUGAACCUUUACUGUAGCUUUGUAUUGGACUUUGAACGGAUCUGUGUAGGAUAGGUGGGAGGCUUUGAAGCAGGGUCGCUAGAUCUUGUGGAGCCAACGUUGAAAUACCACCCUGGUGCGUUUGAGGUUCUAACCUAGGCCCGUUAUCCGGGUCGGGGACAGUGCAUGGUAGGCAGUUUGACUGGGGCGGUCUCCUCCCAAAGCGUAACGGAGGAGUUCGAAGGUACGCUAGUUACGGUCGGACAUCGUGACGAUAGUGCAAUGGCAUAAGCGUGCUUAACUGCGAGACUGACAAGUCGUGCAGAUGCGAAAGCAGGACAUAGUGAUCCGGUGGUUCUGUAUGGAAGGGCCAUCGCUCAACGGAUAAAAGGUACUCUGGGGAUAACAGGCUGAUACCGCCCAAGAGUUCAUAUCGACGGCGGUGUUUGGCACCUCGAUGUCGGCUCAUCUCAUCCUGGGGCUGUAGCCGGUCCCAAGGGUAUGGCUGUUCGCCAUUUAAAGAGGUACGUGAGCUGGGUUUAAAACGUCGUGAGACAGUUUGGUCCCUAUCUUCCGUGGGCGCUGCAGAUUUGAGGAAGCCUGCUCCUAGUACGAGAGGACCGGAGUGGACGCACCUCUGGUGUACCUGUUGUCACGCCAGUGGCAUUGCAGGGUAGCUAAGUGCGGAAGAGAUAACCGCUGAAAGCAUCUAAGCGGGAAACUCGUUUCAAGAUGAGAUCUGCCGGGGCCUUGAGCCCCCUGAAGAGUCGUUCUAGACCAGGACGUUGAUAGGCUGGGUGUGGAAGCGCAGUAAUGCGUUAAGCUAACCAGUACUAAUUGCUCGUGCGGCUUGACCCC